CCUACGGGGGGCAGCAGUGAGGAAUAUUGGUCAAUGGGCGUAAGCCUGAACCAGCCAAGUCGCGUGAGGGAUGAAGGUUCUAUGGAUCGUAAACCUCUUUUAUAAGGGAAUAAAGUGCGGGACGUGUCCCGUUUUGUAUGUACCCUAUGAAUAAGGAUCGGCUAACUCCGUGCCAGCAGCCGCGGUAAUACGGAGGAUCCGAGUGUUAUCCGGAUUUAUUGGGUUUAAAGGGUGCGUAGGCGGCCUUUUAAGUCAGCGGUGAAAGUCUGUGGCUCAACCAUCGAAAAGCCGUUGAAACUGGGUGGCUUGAGUGGGUUUGAGGCAGGCGGAAUGCGUGGUGUAGCGGUGAAAUGCAUAGAUAUCACGCAGAACCCCGAUUGCGAAGGCAGCAUGCCAGGCCAUGACUGACGCUGAGGCACGAAAGCGUGGGGAUCGAACAGGAUUAGAUACCCGGGUAGUC
This 460-nucleotide ribosomal RNA is filed under the name uncultured bacterium. Its description in RNAcentral is "partial 16S ribosomal RNA". It matches the Rfam family "Bacterial small subunit ribosomal RNA", at positions 338 to 795 of the family's 1533-position model. The record is from RNAcentral.